Molecule: long non-coding RNA, 382 nt
Organism: Antechinus flavipes (yellow-footed antechinus)
Lineage: Eukaryota; Metazoa; Chordata; Mammalia; Dasyuromorphia; Dasyuridae
Exons: 2
Source: RefSeq, a predicted model, not a curated record
AUGAAAGUUAUGUAGAGAUGAUGAAAUCUGGUUCAGAGUUAAAAAUAACCCCCUGGACUUUGCCUUUGAGCUGUAGGCCUAGUUAUUUUUUAACCAAACCAGGAAAUUAAAUUGAACAUAGCCCUCAAAGGAGUCCCAUUUCUACUGCCCCUGGCUUAUGGUAUGGCCUUAGGAACCAAAGGUCCAGGAAAGUUAAGAGAUUUACCCACAAGUCAUGCGGGAAAUACACAUCAGAGGUGGGAUUUGAAUCCAAAUUCUCUGAUUCCAGACCCCAUUAUCUUUGUACUGUAUCACUUACCAACCAUCUCCUGCAUUCCUAAGUAAAUUUUAAGAAACUCUUAAUCUCAGUUUUCAUAUCUAUAAAAUGAAAAUGAUAAUAAUA